ACUAUAGUUGCAAAGUGAAGGUGAUGGAUGUUAGGUUUUCUGGCAAACUAGAAGACAAGGAAGAAAGCAAGUAAGCUUUGCACUGAUUUGGAUAACAAAACAAAAAUGUAUCCGCAAACAUAAUUUUGUCUUAAACUAAAACUCAGGAGGAGUGGGUCAACCACAUGAGUUCUUCCUUAAAGGGCUCCAAGUGGUAUGGAGGGGGUGGUCUCUGUUUUCAAGAGAUUCAGAAGCAUUAUUCCCCCCAACCCCACCCCAGGCAGCUCUUAGGUGAAGGCAUUGGGCAUUUUGCCCAGCUGGGGCUUGAUAAAGGACCUGGGACUUCUGCCUGGUGAGCUGAGCUCCGUGAUAGGGUAGGUUCCUGACUGGUGGCUGACAGUGCAGGGAUAGAGCUUGGAGAACCUCCAAGAAUCCACAGCUAGUGGGUCUGCUCGUGCCCCUGCGUCAUCAGUCAAUAGGCGUUGUGCCUAACAC
RNAcentral lists this long non-coding RNA (474 nucleotides) under Bos taurus (domestic cattle). RNAcentral describes it as "long non-coding RNA NONBTAT016333". The record is from RNAcentral. Lineage: Eukaryota; Metazoa; Chordata; Mammalia; Artiodactyla; Bovidae.